This 432-nucleotide ribosomal RNA is filed under the name uncultured bacterium. Its description in RNAcentral is "partial 16S ribosomal RNA". It matches the Rfam family "Bacterial small subunit ribosomal RNA", at positions 29 to 507 of the family's 1533-position model. The record is from RNAcentral.
AACGAACGCUGGCGGCAUGCCUAACACAUGCCAGUCGAACGAGACCUUCGGGUCUUGUGGCGCACGGGUUCGUAACGCGUGGGAACCUGCCCUUAGGUUCGGAAUAACUCCCCGAAAGGGGUGCUAAUACCAGACAAUAUCUUCUGACCAAAGAUUUAUUGCCUUUGGGUGGACCCGCGUUGGAUUCGCUAGUUGGUAGGGUAAAAGCCUACAAAGGCGAAGAUCCGUAGCUGGGCUGGGAGGAUGGUCAGCCACACUAGGAGAGAGACACGGCCGAGACUCUUAGGGAAGGCAGCAGUGGGGAAGAAUGGACGAUGGGCGAAAGCCUAAGGCAGCAGGGCCGCGUGAGUGAGGAAGGCGGGAGGGUUGAAAAGGUCUUUUACUCUGCAUGAUAAGAAGAGACCCGGUAAGAUAGGCUCGGGUAACUUCGUU